GGGCUUGUACUGGUUUCGACGGGGGCUUCGAAGUUGAGGCAGCCAUCCGCAGACUCCUGAACUGCGUAUCAAUCGGGAAACUAAAUAUAAACGCAGACGAACAGUACGCGUUAGCAGCCUAAGCGCUGCUCAUCAGCCCUGAUGCACUCACACAUCAGGAAUCUGGUGUCGACUAUGUGAGAAACCUUGUCGGGUAAGCUUUGCCCCGGCAGAUGUAUCAUGAAGCUACUAAAGCAGUAAGCCUGUCGGUGGGCGUACUGCCAAGGGAAUGUUAAAUCAGCGACUGUGAUGGGAGAUACCGCAAGGGACAGGCUUUCGGACAGGGGUUCGAUUCCCCUCAGGUCCAUUU
Molecule: transfer-messenger RNA, 349 nt
Filed under: Blautia obeum
Lineage: Bacteria; Bacillati; Bacillota; Clostridia; Lachnospirales; Lachnospiraceae
Also listed under: 5 other names
Rfam family: transfer-messenger RNA
About the family: Bacterial tmRNA, also known as 10Sa RNA or SsrA, is named for its dual tRNA and mRNA-like properties.
Source: RNAcentral